RNAcentral lists this long non-coding RNA (286 nucleotides) under Elaeis guineensis (African oil palm). Its description in RNAcentral is "long non-coding RNA (EGUI_LNC034990)". Lineage: Eukaryota; Viridiplantae; Streptophyta; Magnoliopsida; Arecales; Arecaceae. The record is from RNAcentral.
CCUAAAGGUCAAAAAGAGUAAUAAACCUUCUGAAGGUAUGCUCGUAAUUGAAUCUAACCUUACGGUUUCUUUUAUUUCUAGUUGGAUAUUAGACUCUAUCUCGAGUGCUCAUAUAUAUACCUCAAUGUAGGGUCUAAUAGAAAAUAAGAGGUUGAGAGAAGGUGACAUAAUUCUUCAGAUCGGUAAUAGAGCAAAAGUUGCUGCAGAGGUCGUUGGCACUUAUCCUCUUUGAUUACCGUCUGGUUUUAGAUUAGAUUUGAAGGACUGUUAUUAUGUUGCUGUAGCU